UGAGGGAAUCUCAAAAAUUGGGUNGUAGUCCGGAUUGGAGUCUGCAAUUCGACUCCAUGAAGUCGGAAUCGCUAGUAAUCGUGGAUCAGAAUGCCACGGUGAAUACGUUCCCGGGCCUUGUACACACCGCCCGUCACACCAUGGGAGUGGGCUGCAAAAGAAGUGGGUAGUUUAACCUUCGGGAGGACGCUCACCACUUUGUGGUUCAUGACUGGGGUGAAGUUGUAACAAGGUAACCG
Molecule: ribosomal RNA, 239 nt
Filed under: uncultured bacterium
Lineage: Bacteria
Description: partial 16S ribosomal RNA
Rfam family: Bacterial small subunit ribosomal RNA
Source: RNAcentral